This 253-nucleotide ribosomal RNA is filed under the name uncultured bacterium. RNAcentral's name for it is "partial 16S ribosomal RNA". It matches the Rfam family "Bacterial small subunit ribosomal RNA", at positions 524 to 776 of the family's 1533-position model. The record is from RNAcentral.
UACGAAGGGGGCUAGCGUUGCUCGGAAUUACUGGGCGUAAAGGGCUCGUAGGUGGCCAACUAAGUCAGACGUGAAAUCCCUCGGCUUAACCGGGGAACUGCGUCUGAUACUGGAUGGCUUGAAUCCGGGAGAGGGAUGCGGAAUUCCAGGUGUAGCGGUGAAAUGCGUAGAUAUCUGGAGGAACACCGGUGGCGAAGGCGGCAUCCUGGACCGGCAUUGACGCUGAGGAGCGAAAGCCAGGGGAGCAAACGGG